Molecule: transfer RNA, 74 nt
Filed under: Patescibacteria group bacterium
Lineage: Bacteria
Also listed under: 2 other names
Description: tRNA-Val
Rfam family: tRNA
About the family: Transfer RNA (tRNA) molecules are approximately 80 nucleotides in length. Their secondary structure includes four short double-helical elements and three loops (D, anti-codon, and T loops).
Source: RNAcentral
GGACGGUUAGCUCAGUUGGCUAGAGCGUUACAUUGACAUUGUAAAGGUCAGAGGUUCAAGUCCUCUACCGUCCA